This 1040-nucleotide long non-coding RNA is filed under the name Trifolium pratense (red clover). RNAcentral describes it as "long non-coding RNA (TPRA_LNC009404)". The record is from RNAcentral. Lineage: Eukaryota; Viridiplantae; Streptophyta; Magnoliopsida; Fabales; Fabaceae.
GAAAACCUAUGUGAUAAGUGUAUAACAACGACACACUACUAGAAAUAUUUGUUUUCUUGCGAAAAAUAUCUGCAGGAAUACAUGUAGAUUUUCGUGCCAAUUUAAGUCAUAGAAGGGAUGUUCAUGCGGAUACAGAAUUCGUAGAGAAAUCAUUAGGAAAGUCUUGUUUUUGUUACGGAGUUGCGUACGACAAUUAAUCGCAGGAAAUAUCUGCAGCAAAAUCGUAAGGAAAUUUACUAUCUUAUUAAAGCCCUAGGCAUAACGGAUUGCUACGAGAGUGGAACGUUACCAUAGAUACCAUAUUAUGUCGAAAGACAUAUAAGUGUUUCCACAAAACCAUACUCCAUUGUUAAGAUAUGUUAUGAUUAUUAUCCUUGUCAUAUUGAGGAACAAAAUAGAAUAUUUAUUGGGUACAAAGCCAUAAUUGCAAGGUCCAUAAAAUUACAAAAUGAAAUAUUAAACAAAUACAUUUAUUGGGUGCAAAAUAGAUUUAUUUUAGCAUAGAUUUAUUUUCUUAAUAUAUUCUAGCAUAAGAUAUAUUGCAUAGAUUUAUUUUCUUAGUAUAUGAACUUAUUUGUCCCUGCAUCGCAUUUGAUUACAAUCAUCAUCAUUUUGGUACUACUGCUUCUAGUGUCCCGUCUUUAAGAAACUGACAUGUGUUCUUAUAACACCUCCACGUAUAAGGAACACUGGGUGUAUUACUUUUUGGACAAUCAUCAUCAGUGUCACAUUUAAGUGCUGUAAAAAAAAUAUGAUAAUAAAAUAAUAUUAUUGAAAUGGAUACAAAAUUUUGGACGAACUACAAAGUAAAGAAAGAAACGUUAAAAUGAUGAAAAAUGACUUACCAUUUGUAACAAGUAAUAGGGAAAUAAAUAAAAGGACCACAUAAACAAACUUGAUAGUUUGAACCAUAUUUUUAUCUCUUUGUAUGUAACAAAGAAUAUGAUUUUAUCACUUUAUAGUGUAUAAUGUUUAUGUUAUAAUAAAGAAAUUAAAUAUUUAUAAUGGUCCAGUUAUUGUAAAAAUACUUUUAUAAUUGC